RNAcentral lists this ribosomal RNA (742 nucleotides) under uncultured marine bacterium. RNAcentral describes it as "bacterial SSU rRNA". It matches the Rfam family "Bacterial small subunit ribosomal RNA", at positions 574 to 1324 of the family's 1533-position model. The record is from RNAcentral.
GGCGGUCGAUUAAGUCAGAGGUGAAAUCCCAUAGCUCAACUAUGGAACUGCCUUUGAUACUGGUUGACUUGAGUCAUAUGGAAGUAGAUAGAAUGUGUAGUGUAGCGGUGAAAUGCAUAGAUAUUACACAGAAUACCGAUUGCGAAGGCAGUCUACUACGUAUGUACUGACGCUGAGGGACGAAAGCGUGGGGGGCGAACAGGAUUAGAUACCCUGGUAGUCCACGCCGUAAACGAUGGAUACUAGUUGUUGGGAUUUAUCUCAGUGACUAAGCGAAAGUGAUAAGUAUCCCACCUGGGGAGUACGGUCGCAAGACUGAAACUCAAAGGAAUUGACGGGGGCCCGCACAAGCGGUGGAGCAUGUGGUUUAAUUCGAUGAUACGCGAGGAACCUUACCAGGGCUUAAAUGUAGUCUGACAGCUUUAGAGAUAGAGUUUUCUUCGGACAGAUUACAAGGUGCUGCAUGGUUGUCGUCAGCUCGUGCCGUGAGGUGUCAGGUUAAGUCCUAUAACGAGCGCAACCCCUGUCGUUAGUUGCCAGCAUGUUAUGAUGGGGACUCUAACGAGACUGCCUACGCAAGUAGAGAGGAAGGUGGGGAUGACGUCAAAUCAUCACGGCCCUUACGUCCUGGGCCACACACGUGCUACAAUGGUAUGGACAAUGAGCAGCCAUCUGGCAACAGAGAGCGAAUCUACAAACCAUAUCACAGUUCGGAUCGGAGUCUGCAACUCGACUCCGUGAA